CUGUCAUUCUGAAGCCAGGCUGCCUGGUGACGAUAUUAUCUGGGAGAACAGAGAAAAGGUUUUAUAAACGGCGUCAUGAUGUCACAGAUUUGUUUCAUGUUGCUCGUCUUGAGUUUCUUUGAGGGAUCCAGGGGGAUCACUCAGACACCAGCUUCCAUACAGGCAAGUCUUGGGGACAGAGUGAAAAUCCUGUGCCACGCUUCCUCUCCUAGGAGUGAUGAUAUGUCCUUAUAUCAGUUUAAACCAGGACAGAAGCCCAAGCUUCUUAUUCAUAAUGCUACGAGCCGUUUUGAAGGCACCCCAGAUCGCUUCAGUGGUACCUACAGAAACACUGACUUCUCAUUCACCAUCAGCGACGUCAGUGUCGAGGAUGAAGCAGACUACUACUGUGCCCAACAGCAAAUGUACCCUCCCAUUUUUGGUGAGGGGACCAAGUUAGAAAUCAAACGCAGAGAAGAUGCCACGCCAUCGGAGUGAAGUGACACACAAAACGUUGUCCAGCCCUCUUGUGAAGAGUUUUCGGAGGUCUGAGGGCUCCAGAUAGGCCAUCCUGUAAAGCAGGUUCUUCUUUAUAGUCAUUUUCCUGCAACAAGUUUACCAUCUCUAUCAGAAAUCACCCUUGUAUUAUGAUUGAAGGAAAGAAGUCUUACAUAGGUAUCUCAUAUUGCAUGUCCUUUCUCUGCAGUCUGUAAAUUCUUCCAGGUCCUUUUUUCUCUUACUUAUCUAACGUUAACCUUGUGGAAUAAUAUAAAGGCAUAAAUAAACGCAUCUUGA
Zootoca vivipara (common lizard) is the source of this 774-nucleotide non-coding RNA. The record is from the annotation of a RefSeq genome assembly. NCBI's taxonomy places the organism in Eukaryota, Metazoa, Chordata, Lepidosauria, Squamata, Lacertidae.